GACGAACGCUGGCGGCGUGCUUAACACAUGCAAGUCGAACGGAAAGGCCCUGCUUUUGUGGGGUGCUCGAGUGGCGAACGGGUGAGUAACACGUGAGUAACCUGCCCUUGACUUUGGGAUAACUUCAGGAAACUGGGGCUAAUACCGGAUAGGAGCUCCUGCUACAUGGUGGGGGUUGGAAAGUUUCGGCGGUUGGGGAUGGACUCGCGGCUUAUCAGCUUGUUGGUGGGGUAGUGGCUUACCAAGGCUUUGACGGGUAGCCGGCCUGAGAGGGUGACCGGCCACAUUGGGACUGAGAUACGGCCCAGACUCCUACGGGGGGCAGCAGUGGGGAAUAUUGCACAAUGGGCGGAAGCCUGAUGCAGCAACGCCGCGUGCGGGAUGACGGCCUUCGGGUUGUAAACCGCUUUCGCCUGUGACGAAGCGUGAGUGACGGUAAUGGGUAAAGAAGCACCGGCUAACUACGUG
This 468-nucleotide ribosomal RNA is filed under the name uncultured bacterium. Its description in RNAcentral is "partial 16S ribosomal RNA". It matches the Rfam family "Bacterial small subunit ribosomal RNA", at positions 28 to 507 of the family's 1533-position model. The record is from RNAcentral.